CCUGUUCUUCCAACCUUCACAACUUUUCAACCGUAACUCCAAAUGAGGUGAUUCCAAAGCCUAUUUCUUCGUUUCAUCGAGCCCGUUCUGUUGGUUUCAUUUUCACUAUGGUUUGACACUGUGAAAAUGACCUUUUUGCCCUUGCGCGUAAACAGCCCCUCCGAGAGAGAACUGUUUCCGGCAAAUCUUUCCGCGGCUUCACCGCACUUCUCCCCGGUGACUUCUUCCACCCCAGGCAAGCCACAAUACCCACUUGCAUGAUAGUCAUGCAGUAGCCAUGGUUUUCAACUUGAAUCUUUAUUAAAUGUUUGCUUGUUGUAAAGAUGGUUAUCGUUGUUCCGGUGAUGUUUAGAUUUGCAUGUUCACUUUUGUGCUAGGUUGUCUUGUACUCUGUUAUCAUGUUCUACCUGCUAGUAUUUCCUUUCAUAUAUUUGUGCUUGCUAGUAGUACAUGUUGAUGUACUGGUGAUGUUCAUGCUAGUCAGUAUGUCGUGCUCAGUGGAUAUGAUUCAUUGUUGAUAUGGUGGAUAGUAUGUGAUACCGUCAUGAUUAUGUUGAUAUCAUGUCCAUGCAUUGUAAUUUGCAUCAUGUUAUUUUAUCAUGGCUCAGCAUAUUUGCAUUCAAGUUAACCGGAUUAAAUUGAACUUGAACAACUGUUGGCUGAGUCAUGGUGCCGCUGAAUCGAUGCUGACCAGUGCAACCACGCUUACCGGUAUGGGACGGUCCUAACUGGGUCUAUUGUCGUGCCUCUCGCCGGUGCCUCCAACGAGGGAAGGUUAUGGGCGCGCGCUACCCUGAUCAGGUAGGCGGACAUAACCUUGUGUGCCCGUUGUUGUUUUUAUGGAUCCGGUCCCCGUGAGGGACGUUUGGCCACGACGGUGGUCGUUGUGUUUUUGGUAGACACGGGGCCACCCAGGACUAGCCCAAUGGGGAGUGAGUCGGAGUGGCCGGGAGAGUGUCAUGGCAGUAGAUCGGUUUUGUCAGAACGCCGUUGGUCCACCCGAAUGGGAGUACGAGGCCAUGGGUUCCGUGGUGUGGGUACAGUGUACUAACCUCUGCAGAGUGUAUAUUAAAUCUAUCGAUAGUCGUGCCCGCGGAUAAGGGCCCAGCUCGUGUCGGUCCCACCGUGAGUCAACAGUAUUAAUAAUAACUUGAUUAAUGACAACCCCGGUUCGACGAUGAGAUAAGUUGGUUGUGAUCACCGGAAAGAUCACCGUUUGAGACCAAGUGUUGGUCAUGGUUGUGAUCGCCGGAAUGAUCACCGUGGUAUCGAGGAUACCGAGUUGUUGGAUAUUCGUGAUGUUGUGCGAGAAUCAUGGGUAAAGAUCAAGCUCCUUGUGGUCAUUUAAUGAUUACUACGGUAUUGUUUAUACCAAGCUUGAUUUGAUCCUGAGAUGAUUGUGUGAUGUCCGAGGUUGGUAAGUGAUGCAUGUGAUGGUUACGUAGUAACCCGAGCAGAAUAAAUGGUGCAUGUAGUGUCAUCAUGUUGCAUGCUAGUAUCAUCAGCUUUAUAUGUUCAUGCCAUGAUCAUAUAUUGUCCUAGCGAUAUUAUGUUCAUAUUGUUCAUGCCAUGUUAUCCUGAUGAUCUCAUGAUAAUCCCUGAUUAACCUGUAAUUGCCAUGCUGUUGUUUGUCUUGAAUGCAUCUGGUUAAUUGUGAGCUUGCAAGUACAUUCAAUGUACUGACCUGGCGUGUCAUGCCAGCUUGCAGGUCGUGCCUGGAUUACAUGCUUGUUUGCCGUGGAUUCUUUGUUUGCGAGCUAGGAUAAGCGUUCCAGCCAGAGUCCCUGCGGAGUGGAGUUCACCACCGUCGUCGUUGUUCCGCUGCUAGAGUUAUUCCGCUGCUUCGAGUUGUUCUGCUGCUUGCAUAGAGCAACUGAGGAUGGCGUAGUGUCGCCGUGCCGAUUUUAUUCAUUGUAAUAUCGGAGACCUUGUAUUCAUAUUCGUGUAAUAAUAGAAAGCUGGUUUGUUCUAUGCUAAGCAGUGCCGUAUUCCAGAAGACUUCUCCUCGAUCUCUGGGCUAGAAUACGGGGCGUUCCGGUUUCUCUGAGCCGGGGUGCCACACCUUAAUACAUGUGUG
RNAcentral lists this long non-coding RNA (2077 nucleotides) under Triticum aestivum (bread wheat). Its description in RNAcentral is "long non-coding RNA (TAES_LNC000571)". Lineage: Eukaryota; Viridiplantae; Streptophyta; Magnoliopsida; Poales; Poaceae. The record is from RNAcentral.